RNAcentral lists this ribosomal RNA (253 nucleotides) under uncultured bacterium. RNAcentral describes it as "partial 16S ribosomal RNA". It matches the Rfam family "Bacterial small subunit ribosomal RNA", at positions 524 to 776 of the family's 1533-position model. The record is from RNAcentral.
UACGAAGGGGGCUAGCGUUGCUCGGAAUCACUGGGCGUAAAGGGUGCGUAGGCGGGUCUUUAAGUCAGGGGUGAAAUCCUGGAGCUCAACUCCAGAACUGCCUUUGAUACUGAGGAGCUUGAGUACGGGAGAGGUGAGUGGAACUGCGAGUGUAGAGGUGAAAUUCGUAGAUAUUCGCAAGAACACCAGUGGCGAAGGCGGCUCACUGGCCCGUUACUGACGCUGAGGCACGAAAGCGUGGGGAGCGAACAGG